RNAcentral lists this unclassified non-coding RNA (176 nucleotides) under uncultured Inocybaceae. RNAcentral's name for it is "partial internal transcribed spacer 2". Lineage: Eukaryota; Fungi; Basidiomycota; Agaricomycetes; Agaricales. The record is from RNAcentral.
AAUUCUCAACCACACCUGGUGUGGCUUGGAUUUGGGUUGUUGUGGGCUUUUUUUUUUUGUAGUCUGCUCCCCUGAAAUUAAUUAGCGGUACCUUGGUGGAACUGUCUACAGGUGUGAUAAUUAUCUACAUCCUAGACAUCUGCUGGAAUGCUGCUUUCUAAAACCUUACUUGACAA